AGAAUUAAAAAGAUCAUUUUCUUCUUCUUCGACAUGUUGAAUUCGAGCAUUGUGUCUCUCUUCCUAGGUACGAUCCUCGUAAUCUCUGUCGUUGUGCCUACCCUACAAGCUGAGGAGGUCGGUGAAUACGUACCAACUGAAGAUUCAAUUCGGCUUAUAAAUCGCACGGAGUUGAAAGCAAUUAUAGGUAAGAACGAGAAGAUCGAUAACUUUGGUCAGAUCCUGAUGAAACAGUGUUUGGUUUGCACCUGUUGUCUCAAUGGUCACAAACCAUCUCCCAAGUUCUGCAAGUCGACGAAAUGUUGCUUUGAUGUAAAUUGUAGUUUGGCAAACCCUGAAUGUAGUUUGCAUCCAUAUAAUUGCGAUUGUCACAAACAUUGCUAAUAAUUAAACCUUCUCCAAAAAACAAUUAUCCUCUUUCAAAGAUCGAUCGAUCGAAAAGGGAUCAUGAAUAAAUAAAUAAGCAUUGUGAUUUCUGAGUUUAUUACUUUAUUUUCUUUCAAUGGUGACUGCUGAGUUUAGUUAAAUG
This 529-nucleotide long non-coding RNA is filed under the name Zostera marina. RNAcentral describes it as "long non-coding RNA (ZMAR_LNC003550)". Lineage: Eukaryota; Viridiplantae; Streptophyta; Magnoliopsida; Alismatales; Zosteraceae. The record is from RNAcentral.